RNAcentral lists this ribosomal RNA (103 nucleotides) under uncultured bacterium. Its description in RNAcentral is "partial 16S ribosomal RNA". The record is from RNAcentral.
AGAGUUUGAUCCUGGCUCAGGAUGAACGCUGGCGGCGUGCCUAACACAUGCAAGUCGAGCGAAGCGCUUUACUUCAAUUCUUUCGGGAAGAGGAGUGAAAUGA